AGUCAUGGACAGCAAAAAUGCCAGCUUUUUCAUUGGUAAGUAUUUUUUAAAUGACAUUUUACACUGCCAUUCAACAAGAAACUGUUUAUUUAUAUUAUUUUGAAAGUAUAUUAUGGGUGUUAUAUCAGCGAAUAGGGUUCACAACGCAAUUGUGUUAUUAAGCUGCAUUGUUUGGGAGAUUAGGACUGUUAUUUUUUAUAAGUGUACAAUCUGAACAGCUUUUUAAUAGGAAAUCGUUUUAACUUAAAUAAGCAUUGCUUUAAUGAUGCUUGGUUAUGCCCUCUCUGUGACAGAGCGCGAGUGUCUGUAAAUGUACAGUGUUAUUAUCAGUAUUUUAUUCUCAGCGGGAGUUUGGUGUAUGAAGGAGUUAACGUCCCCUCCCCCUCGCUGCUGCGCCACUCUGUGUUUCAUAUGCGUUACUGCUGCUUCACUUUGCGUGUCUGAGGGCCACUGAAGUAGCAUCUGGUGGGUCUAUACUGGAAACAACAUACACUGCUAGUGAAGAAGUUCCAUUCAGUCUAAGACACAUCCUCUGAGUAAUCUGAAUGCUUUCAUCUUACCUGUAGACAAGAAGCAAAUCCUCCCAGUCCUGCCCGUCUGUGAAAACUUUC
Molecule: non-coding RNA, 611 nt
Organism: Misgurnus anguillicaudatus (oriental weatherfish)
Lineage: Eukaryota; Metazoa; Chordata; Actinopteri; Cypriniformes; Cobitidae
Source: RefSeq, a predicted model, not a curated record